UGGGAAUCUGCCCAGUAGUGGGGGACAACAGCCGGAAACGGUUGCUAAUACCGCAUACGCCCUACGGGGGAAAGGGGGGGAUCUUCGGACCUCUCGCUAUUGGAUGAGCCCGCGUCGGAUUAGCUAGUUGGUAGGGUAAAGGCCUACCAAGGCUACGAUCCGUAACUGGUCUGAGAGGAUGAUCAGUCACACUGGAACUGAGACACGGUCCAGACUCCUACGGGAG
RNAcentral lists this ribosomal RNA (226 nucleotides) under uncultured bacterium. RNAcentral describes it as "partial 16S ribosomal RNA". It matches the Rfam family "Bacterial small subunit ribosomal RNA", at positions 118 to 347 of the family's 1533-position model. The record is from RNAcentral.